UGUCGUGUUAAUUCCGAUGAGGUCACACCUGUUCCCAUUCCGAACACAGAAGUUAAGCUUGUCAGGGCCCAAAG
This 74-nucleotide ribosomal RNA is filed under the name Oenococcus oeni. Lineage: Bacteria; Bacillati; Bacillota; Bacilli; Lactobacillales; Lactobacillaceae. The record is from RNAcentral.